GCAUACACAUGAGACAAUAUAAGAUAAUUAAAUAUACCAUUUAUUUUAUAUUUAUUUGUCAUUUAAAAAAAAAUAAAUUACAUUUAUUUUCUUUUAUUGAGGGAUCUAUCAUCAAUAUUAAAAGGGAUACCAGUGUGAGACCCAGCUUCACCGUUUUUAAGUGGGGAUGCAAAUGUAUUAGCCAAUAUUAUUUUUUUCCCAAACAUUAUCAGUACUGAUAUGUUCUCUGUCCUAAAAAGUAAAUAAAAGCAUUUUGACAGGAAAAUAAGUAUUUAUAGAGUCAAAAUUCAGCACUUUCAAAAUCUGCGAUUAAUUGUGAUUAACUGAAAAAUAAUGCAAUUAAUUGCGAUUAAACAUUUUAAUCAACUGACAGCACAAGUUAUAAUGUAUAAUUAUUAGGGAUUUUGAUUUAACGAGUUAAUUCAGUGCGAUUAAUUAUAUAAAAAAUAAUGCAUAAAAAAAUGUAUGCAAUUAAUCAUGCCCCCCAAACGUUAAGGAAUAUUCCUACCAUCUGAGAAAUUCAAGCUUGAAGUACCACCUGUUUUCAGCAGGGGGCAGCAAGCAAAACUCCAGCAGUUUAUUUAAUUUUACAUAAAAGUAAAACAUUUAUUACAUCACUUUUAUUUUAUUGAGGGUUCUAUCAUCAAUAUUAAAAGGGAUACCAGUGACUAUGUGACCAGAGGAUGCACAAUAUAUUAGACAAUAUAACUUUGUUCUACAAUUAUCGGUAUUGAUAUCAGUCUGAUUAUGCUGAUAUUGGAAGAUAAUAACAGACCUUAUUUUGUUGCAACUCAAAGAAUGUACCCUGUUCUAUACCAGGUUAUAAAAGUAUCAAACACUUAUCCAUGUUUUCUACUCUACAUUAAUAUGUAUUAUAUUCAUUUUAAAAAUGGUAUAAUAAGAGCUGUCGAAAUUAAAGUGUUAACUCGAAACUAAUUGAAAAUGUUGAACAUGUUUUUUAUUAAUUUAUUUUUUUAUUUUUUUAUUAAAGUGAUUAACGCAUUUACCAAUUUGAUACUGGAUUCUUAAAUUUUAUUCAGCCCUGUGUGAGUUCUGAACAUUGGUUGGAAUAAGGCGGAACCUUUGCGAUGUGUCCGCCCGGGCUCAUUAUACUGAUGCACACAACACAAACACACACUGUGUCACACCGAGGAAGGUCUGUGCACCAAAACGUCUGUCUCUUCCUCUAAAUCCAUGUAGUAAAAAGUAACAGAAGUCUAUCAUCUGAGUGCGGCAUAUUUGGCAUUGUAUUACAAAUGCCAAAUAGAUAUACGCACCAAACAAAUAAAAAAGCAGUAAAAGAAGAGAGAGUGCGGUGUAAAAAUAACUUACGAUUUAAUAACCUUUGCAAUGCAUAAAGGCCUCGAUAUACUUCCGUAGAAGUUCUUCUUCAUUCUUCGUCCAGGGGUAAAAGGAAGUUCUAAACUGCCGAGCAACGGUACACUGUUUACGAACCUUCAGACACCCACCACACUGAUGUGGGAGGCAUUUAGAAGUACAUUUAAAUAUGAGGACGCUACAUGUAAAACCUUAAAAAUGUGUCAUCAAUGACUUUAUGCCUCAUUCUGAGUAACAAUUCACGAGUAUUACUAAAAAGUGUGGAACUGGACCUUGGAGCAGUGGAAGAAGGUCACCUGGUCUGAUGAGUCCCAUUUUCUUUUACAACACGUGGAUGGCCGUGUACAUGUGCACCGUUUACCUGGGGAAGUGAUGGUUUGUGGAGGGAGUGUGAUGCUCUGGGCAAUGUUCUGCUGGGAAACCCUGGGUCCGGCCAUUCAUGUGGAUGUCAAUUUGACAUGUGCCACCUACCUAAACAUCAUUGCAGACCAGGUACACCCCUUCAUGGCAAUGGUAUUCCCUGAUGGCAGUGGCCUCUUUCAGCAGGAUAAUGCGCCCUGCCACACUGCACACAUUAUUCAGGAAUGGUUUGAGGAACAUGAUAAAGUGUUCAAGGUGUUGCCCUGGCCUCCAAAUUCCCCAGAUCUAAAUCCGAUUGAGCAUCUGUGGGAUGUGUUGGACCAACAAGUCCGAUCCACGGUGGCUCCACCUCGCAACCUACAGGACUUGAAGGAUCUGCUGCUAAUGUCUUGGUGACAGAUACCACAGGACACCUUCAGGAGUCUAGCAGAGUCCACGCCUCGGUAGGUCGGCGCUGUUUUGAUGGCACGCGGAGGACCAACAGCAUAUUAGGCAGGUGGUCAUAAUGUUUUGGCUCAUCAGUGUACACUCACUGAGCACUUUAUCAGCUAGGCUGGGGUCAGAGUGCAGGUUCAGCCAUGAUACGGCGCCCCUGGAGCAGAUAGGGUCAAGGGCCUUGCUCAAGGGCCCAACAGUGGCAUCUUGGCGGUGCUGGGGCUUGAACCCCCGACCUUCUGAUCAGUAACCCAGAGCCUUAACCGCUGAGCUACCACUGCCCCCUCACACCUGUACACCUGCUUAUUCAUGGGAUUAUAUAAUCAGCAAUUGAUGUGGCAGCAGUGCAAUGCAUAAAAUCAUGCAGAUAUGGGUCAGGAGCUUCAGUUAAUGUUCACAUCAACCAUCAGUAUGAGGAAAAAAUCUGAUCUCAGUGAUUUGGACCGUGGCAUGAUUUUUUUAUGCUAGAUGGGCUGGUUUGAGUAUUUUUUGAAACUGCUGAUCUCCUGGGAUUUUCACGCACAACAGUCUCUAGAAUUUACUCCGAAUGGUGCCAAAAACAAAAAACAUCCAGUGAGCGGUAGUUCUGCGGAUGGAAAUGCCUUGUUGAUGAGAGAGGUCAACGGAGAAUGGCCAGACUGGUUCGAGUUGACAGAAAGGCUACGGUUAUUUUGGAUAACCACUCUGUAAAACUGUAGUGAGUAGAAUAGCAUCUGAUAAUGCACAACAUGUUGAACCUUGAGGCGAAUGGGCUACAACAGCAAAAGGCCACGUCAGGUUCAACUUCUGUCAGCCAAGAACAGAAAGCGGAGGUGGCACAGGCUCAACAAAACUGGACUGUUGAAAAACAUUGCCUGGACUGAUGAAUCUUGAUUUCUGCAGAGGCACACAGAUGGUAGGGUCAGAAUUUGGUGACGACAGCAUAAAUUCAUGGACCUAACCUGCCUUGUGUCAACAGUGCAGGCUGGUGGUGGUGUUGUAAUGGUGUGAGGGAUAUUUUCUUGGUACACUUUGGGCCCAUUAAUACCAAUCAAUCACCGCUUGAAUGCCACAGACUAUUUGAGUAUUGUUGCUGACUGUGUGCAUCCAUUCAUGGCCAUAGUACACCCAUCUUCUAAUGGCUACAACCAGCAUGAUAAUGCACCAUUUCACAAAGCAAUAGUUGCCUCAAACUGGCUUCAUGAACAUGUCAAUGAGUUCACUGUUUUUCAGUAGCAUUGAAAAUAUUUUGGAAUAGCCACAUACACUAUUCCAUUUAUGGUUGAAAAAGCAUUGAUUUAGCAACAUUUACGCCUCUCAUCCACAGUGGAAUGCUAUUUUCCCCCACCAAAAAUGGAGACUUUUGAAAAACUGUACUAGAACCACAUACUUGAUGUUAGGAAACUGUAUUAGUUUGAAUUGCAUUUAAAAAAAUAUAUAUAAUUAUGCAAUAAGAGUAAAGAUUUAUAGUAUCAGCCGACAAAU
Myxocyprinus asiaticus (Chinese sucker) is the source of this 3597-nucleotide long non-coding RNA. RefSeq lists it as uncharacterized. The transcript has 3 exons. Lineage: Eukaryota; Metazoa; Chordata; Actinopteri; Cypriniformes; Catostomidae. The record is from RefSeq and is a predicted model, not a curated record.